This 3749-nucleotide long non-coding RNA is filed under the name Phoenix dactylifera (date palm). RNAcentral's name for it is "long non-coding RNA (PDAC_LNC000192)". The record is from RNAcentral. Lineage: Eukaryota; Viridiplantae; Streptophyta; Magnoliopsida; Arecales; Arecaceae.
AACUUUGUGUUCUCUAAACUGCAUUCCUUCCAUCAAAAGAGUCUACAUGGACCUAGAAAAGGGACCUGAAAUAGCCAAAGCCAAAAUUCCAAUCAUAUAAAGGGCCAAUAAAAGCAUACAACUAUCAAUAGUUUGUCCAGAAUUUCCACAGUCUACUCUUGCUUCAAUGUUGAAAUGACAACAGGAAGUUUCAAACUAUUGAAGAGAGACAUGAUAGUAAAGAACUUAUCCUCACAAUGUUGAAAACCAAAAUCAUCUUUGCUCUGGGUCAUUCUUACACAGGGAUUAUCCAUAGAAUAUGAACCUUGUAUAGUUCUGCUCGAGCAUUUCAAUUGUCAUUCAAACUCGUAAAAGAUUGCUAAGUAACAAUUGCAUAUUAAGUGAGGGUUCAUCCUUACAAGGUGCAUCAUUACAAUCAACAGAAACUCCAAACAGAUGGACUCCUAUUCUGUCAAGAUUAAAGGUGAAAACUGCAAGAUGAAUCAGCUAUGAUGAAAUUGGCUGUUUGUAUUUUUUUCGAACACUCUUUUGAGCUGGUCGAUGAAAUUUUCAUAAACAAUUGAAACCACAUUGAUUUUAUAUUCUCAAAGCAAGAAGUAUUUAAAUGAUUCAAAAUCAAUUUACUUCUCCAAAUUAUUAUCUCUCCAUCAAUGUCCUAUAAUUCAUACAAAAAGCCUAGCAGCCAGAAUCUAGUUCUACUGUAAUCAAGCCCCAAUCACAAGGCAGAUGAGGAACAGACGCAUUCCUAGAGGCAAGUAUGUCAAGCAUCUAAUGGUAAAAUUAAAAAAAUCAUAUAAAUUGUCAUCUCUUUGUCUGUAACUAUGUUUUCAUAGGUGACCAGGUCAUUGUGGGACUUAAAAAUGAAACAAUAUGAUUAACUUUUUAUAGAGUAUACAGGCACAUCAAUAAGAAAGCAAACGUAAAAACUAUCAGAAGGUAGGUACCAAAAGGGUGGUACCAAGCAAGUUUGGAGGGUCUGGUCCAAAAAUAAUAUUGCUGAUAAGAAGAUAUUCAUGUAAUGUUAAAACGUGUUCAUAAGUGGUGCCUUGGUCUACACACGAAUUACUGUUCAUCAGUGCAUCAAUCUUCCUCAUGGGUGAAUAUGAUUUUAUAGGACUACGGACAUACAUUACUCUGUGUAAGUGAUCAAGUGGGCAUCCAACUCACACAAUAAUGAGGUCUUAUUUCAAAGACAUUCCUCUACACCUGCAUAAUUGAUUUCAAACAGAUCAGCUUAAAAUGGAGGGCGACAGAAACUGAUCUACUAUCGCUUAUAUUUGUACAAUAAAUAUAAUCUUCCAAACACACUAGGGUGACUGUCCAUGUAUAAUGAUGAAUCCUCCAGCAUUAGCUUGUAAUUUAGAAAGCAAAUACUUCUAGGCUAUGGCUGACAGCAAAUCAUAUAUGAAUCAAAGAUUGUUAUAUCCAUAUUAAAUGGAUGUGAAUAAAUAAAUAAAAAAAGUGCUAAUCAGACUACUAAAAGAUACAUAUAUAAUGUUCUAAACAAAUACAGAUACAAAAUGAAUAUGACUAAUGUCGAUAUUUGUUUAAAAACAUGUACAGAUAUAAAUUAGACAAGGAAUACCUAUAUUUCUUUAAACAUAACAGAUACAAAUCAAAUAAUUGAGUAUAUCAAUGAGUUAGAUAAAUCAAAUAUGGUCAGAUAAAUCAAUAACAUAUAUUAAAAAGCCAGUCUUCAAAUAGCAAAUCCAGAAUCAAUAAUAUAACUCAUACUGAAAUUUUAAUAUAUCAUCAAGAUUAAAGUAUCAUCUUUGUGCAAAGUUGAUGGUUGCUAAACAUCUCAAAAUCUGGCUAUCCAUAUUUAAAUAAUACUUCAAUACCCAUAUACAUAUCAAAACCUAAAAAAGGAACUUUAUCAAAUUAUCCAUGUCUUUAUCUGUAUUUCAGAUAAUGAUACAUGCAUAUACAAUUUUGGGUGAGGAAAAGCAUACAGUUGAACAAUAUCGACCUAUUUUCAGCCCUGAUCUUAAAUAAUCCAACUAGACAGAUGCUUUCACCAACAACGCAGGGCACAUACACAACUACCCGAUAGGUUUCUUCUCCAUUGAAAUUUAUCACUACUAGAUCUAAGCUGAUAUCUUGAAUAGAAUGUUUCAUCACUUAUCACAACAGUUACACCACAUCAGGUUCCUCAUUUGGCCUUGUUGCCACUAUAAAAUUAGAUUUCGAUGAAGUCCAAGUACUAUUUCAAGAAGUUACUCAAUGUACAUGUUAGAUAAUACAUUUUUAGAAAAAGGAAAAUAGAACUACAAUGAAAAUGGAAGCAAAGUGGUGUCUGAAGAAAAGAAAUUUCAAUGCAGAAAUGACCGUUUUUGCCCCUUUUCUAUACUAAAAGAAUAUAGAAUAGCUGGUCAAUCAAUAUCCUAUGUAGUCAACAGCUUCCUAUAGCAUCAAGCUUCCAAAUGAUUUUGAAUGAUUCCAGCUUUUAUGUUGCGUUCAUGUCCUACACAAACAAUCUUGAAAAGCAUUAUGUGAAAAGCUUCAUGAACAAUGAAGAAAUCAAAGGAAACGAAGAUCCUCUAAAAGAAACUGAGAAGUAGAAAUAGUUUCAAGACUCAUUAAUUCUUGGUCACAACGUCUAGGGUAACAAGAUUGGGCAUUUAGGAUCAGAGGCACUUAAGCUUCCAGCUGAUGCUAGAAUUCCAUUGGGAAUUGGUUUGGAGUAAGCUCAUGAUUGGCAGAGCGAACCAACCAAGGUAAUGCAUAUUAUAAUCCACGUAGUAUUAUAAAAGAUGCAGAGAUUGAAUAAGAUGCUUCAGUGAACUUAGACAUUUUGGACUUAAAGACAGAAGAUGACUUUAGAGAUUUUCUAAAUCAUUCUUAUAAAUUUUGUGAACCCUAUUCUACCAAGUUCAGACUAAUAUGUUUUCUGAAUUCUUCACCUUACUUGAAAAUUUUCUUUUCACCCUUAUUUGAAAAUUUCAAGCCACGCUGGGUUUCUCCCUGCACCAAACAGGCAUCAUCAGAGCAUCACAAGAUAACUUUUCACCCUCCCAAAAAAAAAAAAAAAAAAAUACGCAACUAUGCAACACCUGUAUCCAACCAACUACCCCAACCUGACCAAAGAACAUCAAGCAACACCUUCCAUGGACCAAUGUCCGCUAACAAUACUGACCCUCGAAAAUCCUAACAAAACUAACAUUUAAACUUUCUUUUCUUCAAACAAAAAAAAACUUUCUUUUAACACUAGAGAUCAAACCACAUAGGAGGCAACUUGAUCAACUUUUCAGCCUGCAAAAUUGAAGAUCACUGCCCAUCGAAGAGAACCGUAAAAAGAUAGCAACAGGCCCUAACUACAGAAAAAAGGUUGCACCUUUUCAUCAUUAAAGAUAAGAAGGACGCCAAGAAAGCCAACAAUUCCCUCACUCAUAAUUUUCUAAAAAUUAAAUUACCAAACAAAAGAAAACAUAAUCACCAGAUGAAACCCAAAUACGAGAAUUGUGAUGCAUUAUAUCCAAUCUAACAAGCAGAGACCGAAGAAGAACAAUUGACACAUUAACAGCCAAUAAUCUUGAAAUAUAAAGCUCCACCGAACAAGAGAGAAGGGGAAAAAGAAACAAAAAUAUCUCACAAACAUAACAAGUAAGAACAGCAAAUUCACGGAAUAACGUCAAACCAAAUAAUCAACCCCCAGAAUCCUUUCAUGGAAAAUCAAAAGGAACAAGAAGAACAAAAAGAAAAUCCCAAUUCAUAAGCCAUGACACGAUCAAGAAGGGAAGGUAUCGUAC